RNAcentral lists this small nuclear RNA (22 nucleotides) under Arabidopsis thaliana (thale cress). RNAcentral describes it as "snRNA_17676". The record is from RNAcentral. Lineage: Eukaryota; Viridiplantae; Streptophyta; Magnoliopsida; Brassicales; Brassicaceae.
UACCACUGGGCCAACAACACGU